UUUUUUUUAAUAGUACAAACUUCUCAGCUGACAUAACUUACAAAAUUAAGUUGAUUAAUAUCUUUGAUAAAUAUUAUAUCCAUUAGAUUACCCUCCUUUUAAAUUUCUGUGUAAAAUUUAAUUUUACAGCAACACUUUUAAUGACAAAAAGGCUGGAGCAUGUAGGCCUGUACUCCUUGUAUUGAAAAUAAUCUCUGGCUCCACACUCCAGUCCAGUUGGUGGCGCUAAUGCAGCUCUCGGCUAGUUUGCCAACCGCCAAUAAAAAAAAGAAAAGAGAAGAACAAGUUUGAGGGGAAAAAAACAAGCCUGACGGCGACGGGCUUAUCAACGACGUUGUUCACUGGCGACGGAGUAGCCUAUCCACACACGUAGCUGUCACACGACGGUCUCCUUUGGUGGAAUUUCUGAGGAUUACUACUGUUCCCCUGUCUCAAAGUUCGUUGACAAACGCACUUCCAAUCUCCUCAGUGUGUUGAAGAAGAAAGGAGACUCUGCAGGAAGGGAACUUCGCAUACUUUUGACCCAAAGCUCAACAGCACCAAAUCUAUCAAGAGGAGUGGUUAAGGAUUCAACCAGAACCAUGUGGAUGGCUACCAAAAGAGCCUAAUUGAGGAUUCAAAUCCUACAGAUGUUCCAAGGGAGCUUAGACAGGUUAUCCUUACAGCAUCAGUGUUGAGGGAGGUGAUGCCACCACUCCUCCAGCUGAUGUUGGAAUAGUCCCCAAGGGUGCUGAAGUUCUGCAGGACUUGGGAGACAUCGCCUCUGCUUGUGAAAUCUUAAUACAGUAGGUGUAAUAUAUGCACUGAACCUCACUAAUCCUCAGAACCUUAAAGCCUUCUUUGACUCUCAACCAAGGUACAGAAUGCUCAAGAACAAACUCUAUGAAUGAGCCAACCAUUGAUUUGGAUGCUGAGUGUUCUGUAGAAUAGAACUCUAGGCAAUGCUUCACCAAAAUUGUUGACAACUAAAUGUUAUUUUGCAAACUUUUCAACACUUUAUAGUGCCAAUAGUUUUACUGUAUUUUUUUUUUUUUUUUGCCCAAUUGCACCAAAAUGUUAACUAUAUUAGUGCCGUGUUGGUGAAUAAAGUCCAUAACAAAAAUAAGUUGAAAUGAAUUUGUGUGGAACCUGUUGACAAAGAUUUGAAUUAUGUUAAACUAAUUUGGAAAAUAAUUAUUGAAUGAAAACCUAAUGUUUUCAUUAU
This is a long non-coding RNA of Micropterus dolomieu (smallmouth bass), 1204 nucleotides long. RefSeq lists it as uncharacterized. The transcript has 4 exons. The record is from RefSeq and is a predicted model, not a curated record. Lineage: Eukaryota; Metazoa; Chordata; Actinopteri; Centrarchiformes; Centrarchidae.